Long non-coding RNA from Benincasa hispida (wax gourd), 1739 nucleotides. RefSeq lists it as uncharacterized. The record is from RefSeq and is a predicted model, not a curated record. Lineage: Eukaryota; Viridiplantae; Streptophyta; Magnoliopsida; Cucurbitales; Cucurbitaceae.
GAGAUUAUGUGAUAAUCUCAUCCAUUUUUUCUCUCAAAGCUUCAACAUUUUUUCUCUCCAAAUUUGUUACUCACCGGAUUCCACCAUCCCAUUCUAAGGUCGAAAAAUAGUCAGAAAGACUCUCGUGGUGGUCUACGAAACGUUAUGAGGAGAUUGGAGCUGAUUUGGAGAAGAUUCAAAAACUACAAAAGUUGUAUUUUUUCCACAUUUUUCUUGUUUUAUUGCAUGCAUGCUUAUCUUUAUAGUUAAUUUAAUUAGAGUAUUUUAGAUCUGUUUUUCUUUCGAUGCACAUGUGUUCAUUCCAUUAGACCCUUGGUCGCCGAUUGUUGAGCGUUGUCAGUAAGCUCUCUCUCUUUAGUCCUCUGUCGACCUCUACCUCAAAACAUCUCUUAUCAGAUCCGAUUGCUGGCCUUUGCUCCACCACUCAUUGCCAUUUAGCAGAUGUCACCCCCAUCCACUAUAAAAGCCGCCACUAUUGGAAUUUUGGUCGAUUUUGGGUGAGUUUCUUAUUUUGUUGUGAGCUUUUGGCUGUUUUGGUUGGAUUUUUGAUAAUCCAGUAAGUUUUGAUCCAAAACUAUGUUCACCCAUGUUGUGUUAAUUUUAGAUCUGAGUUUUGAGGGGAACUUGUGUGUUGUUUAGUGGAGUUUAAAUUGUUCUGGCAUCCUCUAAGUAAUUAUCUCAGGUUUUGAAGCUCUUUGCUGGUUUAGUCUAGGGGCUGUAAAUUUAUUCUGAUUAACUAUUAUUGAUAUGUGCAUAGGGUGGAAUAGGAUUUUGAGGAUUGGAGGUGGUUUCGAUUUAAGCUACACUUGGGUAUGACUUCUGGAGGCAUUUGGGUUGAGUUUAGUGUUUUAGUUUUGAUUAUGGAAUAUCUAAGUGAUUUCCUUUUGUGUUUAGGAAGACUUCAGAGUUAUUUUCACUCAAGCUAAAAAGGAGUUUAGUUAAGCUUGCUUGAACAUAUUUGAGUUUGAUCCCAAGAUAAGUGUCUUACUACUUGUUCGCCCGAACCAGAUGCCCUAGUCGAUGUUAGGAUUGAAUACCUACUACGAAAGCAUGCUUCUAAAUGUAUUGGGUUGACUAGCUUUGUUUCAUUGAUGUAUGAUUUGUUUUGGGCGUGCUGGAAGCUUAUGAGCUAUGUUGAUAUGAACAUGGCACAAGAUCUUAUAUUUACAUUUUGCAUGCUGGAUAUAUUGGCUAAGAUAAUAUGAUUAUGAUUUAUAGUAUGAGGUGCCUAUUAGUUGUUUGAUGCAUACUAAAUUAGAUAGUGACUAUCUAUCGUGCUGCAUACAUCUUAUGCUUAUGAACCUUCGGGUUCACCACUUAUGACUGACUUGGUGUCCCUAUGGGAUCACCACUAUUGCCAUAAUUUUUGUUCCUCCGAGAUCACCACGACAAUCAUGAUUUAUGUUCCUUCGGGAACGCCACUAUUGCCAUGAUUUGUAGGCAUUUGGGCUCACUACUUAUACCCAUGUGCACAUGUACCCGAAAAGGAAGGUAAAGACAAGAACAGAUUGAUGAAUGACAAGAAGAAUCCAUGACCAUUCUAUUGGGACUAGAUCGACGCUUCUGCAUAUGUUUUCCAUGUCUUUCAUGUUCCAGUUUCUAGCAGACGAAUGUUUGAGUUCUUUAUUUGUUUUACUUUAUUCUAUUUUGAAAUAUCAAGUUUUAUAGGUACCCAAAAAAGGUUUUAUGCUAUUUAAACUUUUACUUUAAAUAAAGAGGUUUGAUUGGUUUUGCUUAAA